RNAcentral lists this ribosomal RNA (326 nucleotides) under uncultured Desulfococcus sp. RNAcentral describes it as "bacterial SSU rRNA". It matches the Rfam family "Bacterial small subunit ribosomal RNA", at positions 29 to 334 of the family's 1533-position model. Lineage: Bacteria; Pseudomonadati; Thermodesulfobacteriota; Desulfobacteria; Desulfobacterales; Desulfococcaceae. The record is from RNAcentral.
AAUGAACGCUGGCGGCGUGCUUAACACAUGCAAGUCGUACGAGAACUCUUUAGCUUGCUAAAGAUAGUAAAGUGGCGCACGGGUGAGUAACGCGUGGGUAAUCUGCCUUCGAAUCGGGGAUAACAUUGCGAAAGCGAUGCUAAUACCGGAUAAUAUCCCAAAAGCUUCGGAUUUUGAGAUCAAAAGUGGCCUCUACAUGUAAGCUUCUGUUUGAAGAUGAGCCCGCGUACCAUUAGCUUGUUGGUAGGGUAAUGGCCUACCAAGGCAACGAUGGUUAGCUGGUCUGAGAGGAUGAUCAGCCACACUGGAACUGGAACACGGUCCAG